RNAcentral lists this ribosomal RNA (253 nucleotides) under uncultured bacterium. Its description in RNAcentral is "partial 16S ribosomal RNA". It matches the Rfam family "Bacterial small subunit ribosomal RNA", at positions 524 to 776 of the family's 1533-position model. The record is from RNAcentral.
UACGUAGGGUGCAGGCGUUAAUCGGAAUUACUGGGCGUAAAGCGUGCGCAGGCGGUUUGUUAAGUCAGAUGUGAAAUCCCCGGGCUUAACCUGGGAACUGCGUUUGUAACUGGCAAGCUAGAGUGUGGCAGAGGGGGGUGGAAUUCCAAGUGUAGCAGUGAAAUGCGUAGAUAUUUGGAGGAACACCAAUGGCGAAGGCAGCCCCCUGGGUUAACACUGACGCUCAUGCACGAAAGCGUGGGGAGCAAACAGG